This 84-nucleotide transfer RNA is filed under the name Amygdalobacter nucleatus. RNAcentral's name for it is "tRNA-Leu". It matches the Rfam family "tRNA". From Rfam's summary of the family: Transfer RNA (tRNA) molecules are approximately 80 nucleotides in length. Their secondary structure includes four short double-helical elements and three loops (D, anti-codon, and T loops). The record is from RNAcentral. Lineage: Bacteria; Bacillati; Bacillota; Clostridia; Eubacteriales; Oscillospiraceae.
GCGGUCGUGGUGAAACUGGUAGACACGCAGCGUUGAGGUCGCUGUGGAGUAAAAUCCUUGCAAGUUCGAAUCUUGUCGACCGCA